CUUCACUACAACUUUGCAUUGAUUUUGAAUUUUUGAUGUGUAGGAUAGUUGGGAGACUUUGAAGUUGUGUCGCCAGGCAUGAUGGAGUCAACGUUGAAAUACCAACCUUUAAACAUUUAGAAUCUAAUCCCUAACGGGAAACAGUGCAUGGUGGGUAGUUUGACUGGGGUGGUCGCCUCCUAAAGUGUAACGGAGGCUUGCAAAGGUUCCCUCAGUACGGUUGGUAAUCGUACAUAGAGCGUAUUAGUAUAAGGGAGCUUGACUGUGAGACUUACAAGUCGAGCAGGGACGAAAGUCGGCUAAAGUGAUCCGGCGGUUCUGUAUGGAAGGGCCGUCGCUCAAAGGAUAAAAGGUA
RNAcentral lists this ribosomal RNA (355 nucleotides) under uncultured organism. RNAcentral describes it as "bacterial LSU rRNA". It matches the Rfam family "Bacterial large subunit ribosomal RNA", at positions 2099 to 2465 of the family's 2925-position model. The record is from RNAcentral.